Molecule: non-coding RNA, 21 nt
Organism: Caenorhabditis elegans
Lineage: Eukaryota; Metazoa; Nematoda; Chromadorea; Rhabditida; Rhabditidae
Source: Ensembl
UCGAUAGGGUGGCAAAUGAUC